UCAAAAGUCAAGUCGGUGGCUGAUAAAGCCGCCGUCUACACCCAUGUCUUUUGUGUACUCUUGUUUCCCUCGGGUGGCGUAAGCUGCCGAUUGGACAAACCAAAACCUUUUUGUUAAUUGCAAUCAGCGUCCUGAAAAAUAGUAAUAAUAUUUA
Molecule: unclassified non-coding RNA, 154 nt
Filed under: soil metagenome
Description: partial internal transcribed spacer 1
Source: RNAcentral